Molecule: ribosomal RNA, 301 nt
Filed under: uncultured bacterium
Lineage: Bacteria
Description: partial 16S ribosomal RNA
Rfam family: Bacterial small subunit ribosomal RNA
Source: RNAcentral
CAGCAGCCGCGGUAUACGUAGGUCCCGAGCGUUGUCCGGAUUUAUUGGGCAUAAAGCGAGCGCAGGCGGUUAGAUAAGUCUGAAGUUAAAGGCUGUGGCUUAACCAUAGUACGCUUUGGAAACUGUUUAACUUGAGUGCAAGAGGGGAGAGUGGAAUUCCAUGUGUAGCGGUGAAAUGCGUAGAUAUAUGGAGGAACACCGGUGGCGAAAGCGGCUCUCUGGUCUGUAACUGACGCUGAGGCUCGGAAGCGUGGGGAGCAAACAGGAUUAGAUACCCCUGUAGUCCCUGUCUCUUAUACAC